GACGAACGCUGGCGGCGUGCCUAAUACAUGCAAGUCGAGCGCAGGAAACUGACGGAACUCUUCGGAGGGAAGGCAGUGGAAUGAGCGGCGGACGGGUGAGUAACACGUAAGGAACCUGCCUCAAGGAUUGGGAUAACUCCGAGAAAUCGGAGCUAAUACCGGAUAGUUCAUCGGACCGCAUGGUCCGCUGAUGAAAGGCGCUCCGGCGUCACCUUCAGAUGGCCUUGCGGUGCAUUAGCUAGUUGGUGGGGUAACGGCCAACCAAGGCGACGAUGCAUAGCCGACCUGAGAGGGUGAUCGGCCACACUGGGACUGAGACACGGCCCAGACUCCUACGGGAGGCAGCAGUAGGGAAUCUUCCACAAUGGACGAAAGUCUGAUGGAGCAACGCCGCGUGAGUGAUGAAGGUUCUCGGAUCGUAAAACUCUGUUGUAAGGGAAGAACACGUACGAGAGGGAAUGCUCGUACCUUGACGGUACCUUACGAGAAAGCCACGGCUAACUACGUGCCAGCCGCCGCCGUAA
RNAcentral lists this ribosomal RNA (524 nucleotides) under uncultured bacterium. Its description in RNAcentral is "partial 16S ribosomal RNA". It matches the Rfam family "Bacterial small subunit ribosomal RNA", at positions 28 to 523 of the family's 1533-position model. The record is from RNAcentral.